AGAGGUAAAGAAAAGAACAUGCUGUCUCGCACACAAAAUCUUUGACUGACCACCAGCCACCUCCCAGUAUCUGGAGAAAUUCUGGCCUCACGAACUGUCCGCAAAGCUUUGAGUGAUAAAGUCCUGCAGAAACUUUAAGAGCAACUAACUCUCCCAGGGCAUGCCAACGAUACUUGAUUUAAAGCAUAACAGGCCCCAUCACUGACUUCAACUACUCACCACCCGGUUUCUUCUCAUCUACUUUUUAUUUUUAAAAAUGUGUAACAUCACAUUUGGGCACCUGUGAGAGAAGAAAGAAUUGACUUCAAUCCUGGCACCAUUUACUUGCCAGCUGUGGACUUUGGGAGUGUUAAUUAGCCUUUCUGAGCCUGUUUUCUCAUCUGUAAAAUGGCAUAAUUAUGGCAUCUACUCAUAAGUCUGUUGACAGAAUGAGAUCAUGUAUAUGAAGUCCUUAGACACAGUGCCUAGCAGAAUGAGUGCCCAGUAUUAUUACUUAUUAUUGUUUUGAUGAGAAUUUUAAUCUAUAAAUCAGAAAAUAACCUAAGUGAAAGGAGUACUAAAAUGGGAUAUCUCCCCCAAAACAGCAAACAUUAACAACCUUAGUUAACGACCCUAUCACUAACUUAAGGGCUCCCUUGCUUGUUUUUCAUCUAGCUCAGUUUGUACUCAACUGCUAAUUACAAGUUAGGUGUUAAUUACCUCAUAAACAUUUCUUCAAAUCACAGAGCAUUAAUUGCCUGCCCCAACUAAAAAGGCUGGAUUCCUGAGUGCUCUUCCUUUUCAUGCCUUAGGUUCCAAGCUGUUUGCUUUCUUUGAGUUGCUUCUAAUUUAUUAGUUCAGUACUUCUCCCACUGGGUGAAUGAACUGUGUUUCUUAGCAGUUGCUAUGUUCUUGCCCCUUCUAAACCACCAAGCAAAAGACAAAACAGUAGUUAAAUAUAAUUAAGUGAAUUUCAGUGAAGAGUGAUCUAGAUUUCUAAAACAACACACCAAAAGUACAAACCAAAGAGAAAAGAUGGCACAGUUAGAACUUCUGUGUAACAAGACACCAAAAACAAAAGUACAGAUACAUGACUGGCUAGGAGAAGAUAUUUGCACAUACAAUAAAGGAUGAACCUCAACAAGAUAAAUAGCCCAAUUGGCAGGGCAGUAGGGGGGCAGGUAGUGGAGGAAGGUAAGGAUGUGAAUACGUUAUUUGCAGAGAAAUAAAUAGAAAUGGCCAAUAACCACAUAAAAAGAUGUCCAACCUCACUAAGUCAUGGUAGUUGGGGAUCGUAACAACCUGGAGCUUGUGGUAUCUUGUGGAUCCACCGGCCAUCUUUAGUUAACAAUUACUUUUAAAAAAAUAGCUUACAUCCUCAUAUUUUAAAAGGUCUGUUUUUAAGAAGACAAUGCAGAGCUGUAUGGGGCAGCUGUGACAACCAUUUGGCAUUUUAUACCUAGACCUUCACCACGUUCUUUAAAGAUGAACAGUGUAUCAAUGAAUAGCUCCAAAGUUUUUUUAUUUUAAAGUGGUUUCCUUUUUCCUGCUUUCUCAAGUGAAUACUGCCCUUCUAAGAAGCUCAUAAAGUCUUGGCAUCUUCGUAAGUGUUGUGCUUAAGACAAGAUUCAAAGGUCACAAUUAAAAAGUACUUAGCUAAAACAACCUCCUCAAUAUUCUGAUCACAAUACGUAGAAAGAUUUAAAUCUUAAAUCUAAUCUUAAUCUAAAUCUAAAUCUAAAUCUAAUCUUAAGCUAAAAAUUAGUGUUUCCUUUCACCAGUAUACAUUGAUGUCUGCAUGAAGUCCAUGUGCUAUUCUUAAAUUUAGUACUCAAAUCUCAAUAUUUUAGGUGAAAGGCUAAAAAAAAAAACCUCUCCAUAAUUAAUAUAAAAAAAAGCAGCAUGGAAUAGUGGGAUAAACAUUGGCUGGGAGUCAGAAGUAAAGACUCCAGCUCUGCCAUAUUUUAGGGGAAUGACUUUGGGGAAAGUUACUUCUGAGCCUCUAUCUUUACUUGUAAAAUGCAUAUAAUAUUAACAUCUCAUAGGUUUGAUAUAUUAAUGUAUCAUAGGUUUUUAAUGGUUUCAACUGAUUGGAACUAUAUUGAAACUAUGAAGCACCUUGUAUAGUCUUUCCCACAUUAAACAAUUCCACAGUAGAAAAUA
Molecule: long non-coding RNA, 2142 nt
Filed under: Homo sapiens (human)
Lineage: Eukaryota; Metazoa; Chordata; Mammalia; Primates; Hominidae
Description: HSALNT0320401
Source: RNAcentral